GGACAUGUAAAGAACAAGUGUUCUGAGCUUCCUAUCUCUCCCAAUGGAGAGGUGCAAAGUCUCUGAGCAUACGGGACCCUUCUAAAGGCUCCAUCCAGGACCGGCGAGGGAAGAGCCAAGCUUCUGGUGAGUUUAAAGGCCCUUCUUGCAUCCCUAGAUAUGAGAAAGAAGAGAUAUGCUGGCGGUGCGGCUAUAUCUCUCUCGUUUUCUCCAAUUCUAUAGUUGGGGCACCUUGCACAGUCCUGCUGUCUCUCGGUGUCUAAUUACUAAUACAUGAAUUUUGACUUUACCCCAAUACAUGCAUUUGUGUAAACAUUACUUGGCUGGAGAACGGCACUGCAAAAUUCAGGAAAGUGUGAAUUUUAAAGAUUGGCUGUGUUUUGGUUCCCAUAUUGUUUCAGAACAUUUGGAUUAGUUUAGUUUGCCUUUGAAUGCAAUCUGAAUCAAAUUUCUCCCCCAGCCCUAGUCCUGGAUGAUGGUAGUAGCAGUGCAAAAAACAUCUGGAGGGUCAUAAAUUCCUCUCUCAAACUAUGAGCUAAAAUCCCAGUAUAUAGUGGGCAAGUACAACAAUUUGUGAAAUGGAGGGGAGACAUGCCCCCUUCCAUUCUCUAUAUGUGUAACAUGGCAGUUGUGCAUGAUGAGAUGAUUUAUGAAAUAUUUCAGGGGAGUUGGAGAACUGCGUUGUCAUAUUCGGGGGUGUGAACAUUGCAAAAGAAAGCUGCAUUUCAGUUCAUCCAUUGUUUCCAGCAGUGUGAAUGGGGAGUUUUCCAUUACAUGAGAAUUGAACAGUUCUGCCCAUCCCUAGAUACACUGAGGUACAGUACAAAUAAAUCUUUUUUUGUGGGGGGUGGGGGGGAAUGGAGAACAUUUCGAUUCAAUGAGGGUUCAAUGAGAAUUUAAUGAGGACUGAAUACAGCCACUGGCUAUGGAAUGCUGAUUUCCAGGGAGACAUGGAAUAGACUGGAGUAUCCUGGUGUAGGGGAUGAUUUAUUGAUUGGAACCCAGACCAGGAGCACUCCACACUGUGCCAUUUUGUCCCAAGUCCCCCUUGUAGAGAGGAUAUAUAGUAACAAUUUUCCUUAGAGCAACAACAAAAAAACUGCUCUUUAGCAAAGUGCCUGUCCAACUAAAGCAGACAUUCAUGCUUGCUUCCACUAUCCUUUCUUAAAAUAUCUGGCUUUUUAGAUCAUACCAGGUCAAGCAACCAAAGCUUUUAACAUAAUAGGUAACAUGAAUAUAUAGCAGAAGUGUAUAAACCUAGAUCUAUACAUCCUAGCUGAGCAAAUGGGUUGUUGUUUCUACAUGAAAUGAUUCAAGCAGCACAAUCUCUGUACAUUUAUGGCAGACAUAGACACGGAUAUGAAGUUUGACACCACCAGAUGUGUGUUAUAACAUGGCCACUAGGCCAUAAUCACUUUCCAAGCUCUGUGCUCUGCCAUAGCGUCAUGAGCAAAUCUAGUUAGCAGUUUUCAUCCUGGAUAUUCCCUGUUCUGUUCACAGGCUUGCAUGCCAGAUAGCCUAAAGGCAGCAGGAAAUGGACAAACUGCUGAUGAUAUUUGUCAUAAUGUGCCAGCUCUUUGAGUGUGAUCACAUCCCAUUGUCCCCACUUGGCUUCACAGUGAGGUGUAAGUAUCUGAGUUUUGAUGUAGAGUCAAGUUAAGAUGUGUUAAGUGUGUGGAUGUUUUAAGGUGGGUGCAACGUGUUUAUGGCACAGGAUUGAGAGCCAUGUGGGGUAGAUGAUAUAUCUCACAAAAUGCUGGAAUGAUCUUGCAGAGCCUAUGGUCUCGGCACUGUCUGCCUUCAUUUAGCCAUUUUAAAGCUGAACAAUAUGAAAUACUUAAUUUUGAAUAGUUAGGAUGUUUUUUAAAAAAACAAGGUAAAAAAAGAACAGUUAUUUUAAUACAGGACAAGCCUGUUUCAAACACCACCUUUUGAUGUCACACACAAACAGGAUUUAUAACCCUUUUAUGAAUUGCACAAAUUCAAAAAUGACGACAGCUCCUAACCUUAUUAUCCUUUUAGUAAAGGAGGCUGCUCUAUUAAGGUGAGAAGGACACUGCCCUGACCGAACUGUAAGGGUAUUUAAUUUAACUUAAUUUCUUCCCAAAAUCUUGAGUCGCAUUCUCUGCUGCUCCCCUCCUUCAUGUCCUUCAGUUUGUAAUUACAGAGACUUUUGGAUAUAUUUCUAUCAGUCUCCCCUGUUGUGUCCAAUCAGAUAUUUGUGCAAUACAUAAUCCCUAUGGCCAGGCCCCUCCCAUCCAUCUCCAGAAGAAAAACAACUCAGCUUUUAAAAUAAACAAAUAAAUGCAAUUUUGCCUGGAUAUUUGGACCCUAUAAACUUGCAGAUUUGGAUGCCCCCACCCUCUUCUUUUGUCCUAUUCAGGACAAGGCUGAGGACUAUAACUUGGGUGCUGAUCUGAGGAGACCAGAAGAGACUACCACAAACCCAAUUAUCCCAACUUUGUUCUGAAUACAGUGCAUUCAGAGGUGGGGCAAUUCAAAAUACUAGUAGUUGCUGUUAGCAGGGGCAGCUAAAAUAGACGGAGUACAAAGAGUAAAUCCUGGUAAAACUUUACUGGAGGGAGGGGAGCUGAACAAAACAAUAACUUGAGCAGAAAGACGUGGGGGGGGGCUUCCUUUUGACAGUCCUUGUUGGAAGUAGGGUUAGAUUCAACCUACUCACAGCUAGGCAGCCUAUCAGAGCUUGUGCUACCUCAUUAAAGUUGAUGACACCUUCCCUGGUUUGCUAUGCAGAAUCUCCAGCCAUCUCUUGGGCAGCUGACUAACACAGAACAAAAUUAAUUCUUACACAUGCUGAAUGAUCUCUGCUGCUGCAGUUGAAACAUCUGCUUUUCCUUCAGUCACAUAUACACUGAUAAUUCAUUUGAUUUGGUUUGAUUCCAUUUUCUAGCUAUUUUCAUCCCCAGGGCUUCCUAGGGAUGUUCUCCUAUGGAGAAAAAAUGCACUUAAAGUUAGAAAAACAUUAAAAUAGCUUUAAUGGUUUUUCAUUGUUUACAUCAAGAUGAAGCAGAGGAAAUUGAAGGUGAAAUCAAUCUAAAACUUUUUAUUUUGUUGACUACUUUGCAUAAAUAAAAAUGUAAAGGUGAUAAUCUCUCCUUUGUCACAACAGCAGAUGGAAAGUAGGUCUCCACUUUUCAUUUCCUUCCAUUUGUCAAUUUGUGUCAGGCUCUUAAUAUAUUAGAACAAUUUAUGAUGCUAAAUUUAUCUUAGUGGCACAAGAUAAUGACACUGUAAUCAAUGUCUCUUUUGCAAUUUCAUUUUCAGGAGUAUAUAAUUCAAGGCAAUAAUUCAUCCAAGCCAAACUUGGCAACAAAAAGAAAAGGGGGGAACCAACCAUAACUGUUUUCAUGGUAGUGUUGACUUUUCAUAGUAAAGGACUGUACAUGAACCUCUGUGUCUCAGAUUCUGAAAGCUAUACAAUGUUCUAUCUUCUAAAACUUUCAGUUUAGAAAAAACAGUAUUUGGCACUUCAUUGAGGUGAACUGGAGUCUACAUCUCUGCUUUGUUUAAAAUAGAGAUAACACCACGCUAUGAGUCUUCUGUUAAUGGCUGAUCACAUCACUAAUGGUGCCUAGAACCAGCUGUUGAUUAUAUAUAUUAUAAAACUUGUUCCUUUGUUCCUUGAAUCACAGAGGAAAGGACUUUGGAGAUUCUGAAUUUGAAAAAUGCAGCGUGACUCUUAAAAAAGGAACUCAUAAGAAGAUAGUUUACAUAGUGAGAAAGGAUAUUUUUCUGUAAUGUCAUGUAUAAGAUGGUUGAAAAUGCAGUCUGGGCAUCUUUAACAUAUUGGUUAUUGGUGCAGUGCUUUCAUCCCAAUAAAACAUUCCUCUAAUACUGUUUGACAUUUGGUAGAAUUGUUGAUGAUCUCCAGCACAGGCUUUACUUGAGAUAUUAUACUCCUUUUUAAGUCUUGGAAGUGG
This is a non-coding RNA of Podarcis lilfordi (Lilford's wall lizard), 3941 nucleotides long. Lineage: Eukaryota; Metazoa; Chordata; Lepidosauria; Squamata; Lacertidae. The record is from the annotation of a GenBank genome assembly.